Molecule: long non-coding RNA, 732 nt
Organism: Pteropus alecto (black flying fox)
Lineage: Eukaryota; Metazoa; Chordata; Mammalia; Chiroptera; Pteropodidae
Exons: 2
Source: RefSeq, a predicted model, not a curated record
UCCAGUGGUACCACAUGCUGCUGUGCAAACAGAGCACGUGGUCUGGCCAAACAAAGGAACAUGUGUGCGGCAAACCAUCCCCCUAUCGCUGGGGCGCCAGCUCCGCCGGGAGAGGGCCGGGCCUGCACACCGUAAUUUUUCACCCGAUGCUCAGAGUGAUUCCCAGCUUCCCACCCGCUGCGCCCAGCAACUCCCACGUCAUUCCGCCAUAGCAGCAUCUGUGAAAUGAGACAAUAUCCGGCACACGUGCCUGCACUGCUCAGGUCACCAGGCCUCCGAGGGUGGAGCUGAACAAAGAACUUGCGUGAAGAGGCUUCAUUGUCUGCAACAAGCACAAGCAACAGGGCUCCUCUCCACAAUUCCACCGGGGGCGAAUCCCCAUCUUUGAAGGAUUCUAUUUCAGCACCUUAAAUGUGCUCUCCAUCUGAUUGAUAAGGGUCAUGACAGUGUCUCUUGUCUGGGAGAAAGGGGGCUAUGGAGGUGGGGGUUAUUUGAAAACGAGUUCGCUUCCUGGAAGACUGGUGGGAAGGAGUCAAGAGUAGGGCUGCUGUGGGGGCGAUAGAGGCUGGGGUCUAUGUUUCAUUUGGAGAGGUGGGACCUGGAGACAGUUACCUGUUCUUGGAAAGUUGGAAACUAUUUGGAUUUCCUUAGUUGUUAUUUUGACUUGAGAAACUACCCCCUUUCACUCCUCUGGCCUUCUGCUUCCACACAAUAAAAAUUAAUUACAACGAA